This 585-nucleotide long non-coding RNA is filed under the name Homo sapiens (human). RNAcentral describes it as "non-protein coding lnc-ZNF622-2:1". Lineage: Eukaryota; Metazoa; Chordata; Mammalia; Primates; Hominidae. The record is from RNAcentral.
AUUGUUUGGCCACAUUAGCCGUGGUUAGCAGGUGCUGCAGCCUUUGCCACUGUUAUUAUUUUUAAAGGGCAGAAAUGCCUGAAGGUGAAGACUUUGGACCAGGCAAAAGCUGGGAAGUUAUCAAUUCCAAACCAGAUGAAAGACCCAGGCUCAGCCACUGUAUUGCAGAAUCAUGGAUGAAUUUCAGCAUAUUUCUUCAAGAAAUGUCUCUUUUUAAACAGCAGAGCCCUGGCAAGGCAAGUUUUCCAGUAAAGGAGUAUGUUUUAAAAUGUUCAGUUACUUGGAAACAAAUGAACUAACCUAUUUUAUCAGCUUGUCAGAUUUCUCCAAUUUUAAAUAUAAUAUACUAAGAACAUAUGCCAUAAAAGCUGGUAUCAGCAAGGUUCAGAUGUGUGAGUGUGCGAACACUAGAUAAUCCUCAGCCUCACAUUGUGAAAUUGGAUUGGUUUUACAUUUUAUAUAUAUUUAUCUAGCUCAUUAGCUAAAAUGAAUGGUGAUUGGUCUUAUCAGCAAGACUAGGGAGAAAACAGUCUUAAGAAUUUCAGUUAUCGUAUUUAGCCUGGUGCUGAAGUCAAAGGGAGAUGA